UAACCCACUGAGUGAGGCCAGGGAUGGAACCCACCAACCUCAUGGUUCCUGGUCAGAUUUGUUUCCACUGCGCCAGGAUGAGAACUCCUGUCCUGUUUUAUUACUUUAUUAUCCCCUCUUAUUAUUAAACGUUUUAUUACUUUUAAGACAGAUAGUCUUACUUUGGGUCACAAAUACAUCUAGUUGCCAUUGUUUUAUAUGGACCUUCUUUAUUUAUUUUACUUAACUGGCCCAUGUAGUGCUGUGUUUGUAGCCCCUGGUUUAGAUUCCAAGAAUGUGUCUUCAGAUAAUCUUUAAUAAAAUGUAUUUAAAUUUACACAUACAUAAAAGAGUUUAUUAAACGAAUAUAAAUCACUUGAGUUGGAAUAUAUUAUAGUAGGGUUCUGAUCCCAGCACUUCCAUCAAUUAAUUGUUUGGCCUUGGAAAAAUAUUUCUUGACUCUCGAGUCUUACUUUUUCAUCUCUUACCGAAGGUUUUGGUUUCUUCUAUUGAGUUCUAGGAUGUCACAAAUAAAUUAAAAUCAAGAUUUAAGGAAUUUUAACACAAAAGACAAAUUUGUUCUGUCUCACAUUCAACUCUGUUAUCCAUCACUGCUUCAUUUAAUACAGGAAUUCUGUGUCUUGUGUAUCUUGAAUAUUUUACUUUUAGUUUUAGUGUUGAGACUUUGUUGCAAUGCUUCUUUCUAGUAGUGCUUAUAUCUUUUGAGUUGUUCUGAUAUGACUUAUUUGUUUGAAUCUUCUGUUCCAGCCUCAGAAUUUCAUGAUUAUGUUUGCCUUUUCAAAGAGAAGGUGCUUGACCUUUGUGUUAGCUGUCUGUCUCUGUAGGGCAUGGAACAUUAGACACGUACACUAAGUACUGAAAAUAUUACCGUAGACCUCACACAGAAGAAUCAGUACUGCAGAGAGGGCAGCAUUCACUAAAGAAGUCCAGAGGAGGGAGUCUAAUUCUGGAAAUUCUGCGGUAGACCUGAGAAGAUGUUGGAGAUUUUUAGCAGAUGGAGGCGAAAUGGAGCAGUGCUAUAGGAGAAAGAAGUGCUGUGAACAAAGGUAUUACAUGCAGGAAAACUGGGAAUGUUUGUAGGAGAAGGAAGUGUUGUGAACAAAGGUAUUAAUGCAGGAAAAUUGGGGAAUGUUUGGAAAUCUCUAAAAUUUUAGUUUAGCAUGACUAUAUUCUGAGUUAAAAGCAGUUUUGGGAUGUCAGGUUGGGAGGAUAAGGCAGAUUUUGUCUAGUUCAUGAAUAUUCUUGAAUUUAAGGUUAAGAAUUUAGGGAGCUUUUGCUUUAGGUUGUGAGUAUCCUUUGAAGGCUUUAUUACUCAGACUUUAUUGGUUGCACAUGAUAGAAUCCAAUUCUAAAUCUCUUAGUUGCAUAAAGGACAAUGUAUUGGCUCAUAUAACUGAAAGUCCCAGAGUGGUUGGCUACAGGCAAAGCCGGAUCCAGUGGUUCAUUAGGCUUCUUGUUUUCUUGACUCUACUUUCCUCUGGCUUGGCUGUCUCCAAAUAGAUUUCUCUCAGAGUUAAGUUUACAUCUCACCAGCUUAGUUAUUCUAGCUGAAAGUGAGUGCUCCUCUUUUGGUAAAUGUAACAAAAGUUCCAGAUCGAGUGAAAGGACUUUUUAAAAACCUUAAGGUCUUUGAACUUGUUACUGUGACAAAAGGCAUCUAAUGUCAUGAUUGGCUAGGCCUGGAUCACAUGGCCACUUUGGGAUCAACCUCAUUCAAACCUUAUGAACUGAGCACAAGAGAGCAAGAGGGAAAUUGCAUUGUUGUUAUUUAAAAAGGAGGAUACAAUGUUUUGCAUACAAAACAUGGUGAGUACUACAGUCAAAUAUGGGAGUGAGGUAAGGAAAGCUGUGCAUGGGACAAUUACAGCAAUAUAGGAUGGAGACCAUGGAUGAAGGUAGAGAUGGCUGUUGGAUUCUUAACAUCUAAUGUAGAAAUAGUGAGAUACUGAAUAAGUAUAAUGAUAGUAGGAAUGCAAAAUAGUAAAGGAAUUAGCAAUAUGAAGGGUACUUGUGUUGUUUGCAUUUCACUAGUAAUAAAAUUUGUUUAGGAGCCAAACUGAAAUUUACCCUCAUCCUGUCUAUGAGAAAAGAAUUUGGGAUACAAAUUAAUUUAGGCAAAAAUCUCAGAGAUUACAGUUUAAAUAUUUUAGUAGUUACAAUUAUUUUAAAAAUAGCUGGCCAAUUGUAAAUCACCCAUAAAAUUAUUACAUCAGUGUGUUUACUUUGGCAACAUUUUAAAUUACUCCAUGUAUUUCAAUGUAUCAAAACCUUCUUUUCUUAAAAAAAAUAAUGUAACUCUGCCUUUUUUUCUAUUUAAAUAAAAUUUACAGUGUAUAUGAUAUAUACAUGUAUGUGUGUGUAAUAUGUACAUAUACAUAAUCAAUAAGUGAUUCAAUGCUUGGUAUUUAACUUCUCAAACUUAUCACCCCUCCCACCUCAAAAAAGGGAAAAGUCAGGUAUCAAGUGCAUCUCUAGAGUUCUUAUUUUAUGUUAAAUCCUGAAGUGAAAAUGAAUGAGUGAAGCUUGUGUUUGCUUCUCUACUCAGUACAGAAAAGUCAGUCUCUUUCUCACUGGUCUGGACUAGUGAGGCACACAUUUGAAGAACACACAUACUUCAUGCCAGACACAAAUGAUAAAAAGAUGGUAAGGCAGUAUGCUUUAGGAAUGGAGUUUUUUCUCUUGAAUAUAGUUCUAUUCCUUUUAUUUAUUUUCUCCAGUACUCUUUGGACAAUAUUCACUUGAAUCAGCCUUUCUAAAGCAGUUAUGUUUCUAGGAAAACCCCUCAUGCUUGGUAACCUGUCUUUGCCUACAAUAGUAGAUACACAAUGUAGGGGAUUUUUAGCCCAUGGUUUCUCUGUGCAUCCAGUAUUGAUACAGAUAUUUAUUUCUAUACAAACUGUUUUGGUGGGUUCAAAAAUUUUUAGAAAAUGAAAGUGGAUAAGACUAUGAACUAGUUUUUGUCAUUAUGCUUUUUUUUUUAAUUCCAUCGUAAGCUUAAAUAAAAUGAAAGAAAUUUCGUGAAUUCCAGUUAUAUUAAAGGCAUAUGUUAUUCGUAUCGUGUGUGUGUGUGUGUGUGUGUGUGUGUGUGUGUGGCAUUUGUAUGGUAGUUUCUCAUUCAGAUGUAGCGAUUCUUAGCUUUCGUUUUGCAACAUUGCCGAGUGUCUUCAAUUUUCUCAAAGGAGAUUUUUUUUUUUUUAAACUUUUAAAAACAAAACCAUCAACUCACUUUUAUUGAGAAAACAUUUUCUAUACCAUUUUAUAAGGGGAUUGCUGACAGGAAUUCAAGCAAUAGCUCAGUGCCAUUAUCACCAAGGUUUGGGAAUCCUUGAUUCUUAUGAUGGUUGAAAUGAGAUUAUAACUCAGGAAUUCAUAAAAAGUGAUUAGUAAAACUAUGCAGUCGUCUUAGUAGCAGUAUUAUUAUUUUUACCGAAUGCUCAAAAAUACUUAAUGACAUUUGUAUUUUAUUUGCAAGUAUUUUUUUUUUAAAUAUAAGAGAAGAUAAGUAGAGGUUAAGAAUUAAAGUCUUUUUGGUUCUGAAAUUUGAGUAUUGAGUAUUUAAUAUGUAAGGAGAGUUUAUGUUAAGUAAUUGUUUUUUUGUCUGAUUUUGGUGUUUAGAACUGGGCGUAGAAAAAAGAAGAUACACAUACACAAACACGCAAGAAGGAGGAACAGUGGCAAUUUUAGAGUAGAACUACCUGAAAAACAUUCAGGCUUUUGGAAACAUGAUCUUAGUAUUUGCCUUCUUUCAAUCAGUUUUAUUUUAGAUAAAAUGCUGACAGAUGGUAGUGAUCCACUUGAACAGUGUUGAGUUUUCUUUCUUUUUUUUCCCAUGGAAAAAAGCUCCCAGAAAACUUUUAUUCUUUAAUAUGUUCAACAUGCAUAUGUUUUACAUGUAUUAACUGGUAUUAAAAAUGCAGUUUCUAAUUAGAUGUCUAAAUCCGAGAGGAGUUGUGGUGAGUAUUAGCCUCUUAGAAUUUCUGAAAAAGAAAGUUUUGAUGAAUAGGUUUUUUUUUUUUUUUUUUUUUUUUGCUAUUGCAUCCUUCAGCCCACUCUAGCCCCAGAAUCUAAGGAAUUUGAAUUAUCAAUGUUUUUCAGCUUUUAUGUUCAAAUUUCAACUAUAUAUUGUCAUGUUUGAUGAUAAAUCUUUAAGAUACUGAUUUAUGUCAAACCUUGGAGAAUUCAAGGUAUUUAUAUUCUAUUAUGAUCUGUUUUAUAUUACAGCAAAAAAUUAAUACUUAAGUUAUUAAGGAUUUAGGGUUUAGACUGGUGUAAGUAGUUACUCACUUGAUAUGUCUUAGGUUUUAGAAAAAUUGUAGGAAAUCUCCAAAGUAAUAUUGCAACCUGGUUUUGUUUGGUAUUUUUGUUUUACAUUUUAAAUUGUGGGGGUGACGGGGAAACCCCUUCUCUACCUAGUUAUCUGUAUGAGUCACCUGAAAUCUUCCUUCUAAUGGAAGUUAAUGAAAUGGUGCCCUUGAGUCAAUAUUUCCACAUUUGCAAUUUAGAAUAUUCAGUUUGAGCUCAUCAGCAUUCAUUUUCAUUUCUGUUUUACUUUUAAUUUGUCAUGCAGUUUUUUUUCAACUGGUGAGCACAUCAAACCAAGAAUGACUUUUUUCUUCAUAGACAUGGAGUGUCCGUUGUUCUCUCGCUUAAUUUGGUCUUGCUGACUAAUGUGGUAUUUGUUCACAGCUCCAAACCACAGAUUAGGCACAUAGAUAUUGACUAAUCCCAACUUACAGAUAUUAUCCCCACAAGGUGAAUUCCUUCAGUGCUUGGGCAUUCCUAGGAACGGUGGGUUUUGAUUUUCUCUUGUAUCUAUUACACAUUUUAUUACAUAAUAGCUGUGAGGGAGCAGGAGGGAGCACUGGACUAGAAGUCAGAGGAACUGAGUUCAAGGCAUCAUUCAGCCACUAACCUUUCUAAAGGCAAAUCACUCUUUUUCUGUAUCUGCAUUUGCAAAAACAAUGAAAAUAAAAAAUAACACCCUUCCCAUUUAUCUUCAGGGAUGUUAAGAGGAUCAAAGGAGAAUAUUUUGUAAACUGAAGAAUAAGAUGCUGUGGUGAAGUUAGAAUUUGUGCUGUUCUGUGUAACUCAUUUGCUCUGAUAUUUUUAAGUUAUUUAAUUUCUAGUCUUUAUCUCUUUUAAAAUGUAAGGAGAAGAAAUGGCAUGAAAUUAACACCUUAAUAAAAAAAAUAAUGCUUAAAGAGUGUUUGACCCAUGGGCACAAUAUGCUACUGUGUUUGUUCCUUGAUACAGAUGGUUCAUAGUGAUUGGGUUGGGAGAGAUGAUAGUGUGGAUAUUAUUCACAGAUUUUUGGUUUCUGUUUAUUUUAGUUCUGGUAUCAAUUUUGAUUUAUGGCUGAACAGCAACAAUGAAUUAAAUAUUAUAGUUAAAAUAGUGGUUAUAUUUAUAUUUCUGUAAUUAGAAAAAGUCAAAUAAUAAUUCACCAUUUUCUUCAACUAAUAUUUGUAUAAUGACUCAUGUUUGAUAAGGUACUUUGCUAGGUACCUGAUUUGAAAGUAUGUAAAAGAAUGCUUUGUUUACGAAAAGGUAAGUUGGAGGGUGGUUGAAUUGCAUCCUUAUCUUAUAAUGACUAAAGUAUUAAAGACAAUAAAAGUGUACAUUUGCCUCAUGGAUCUGAAGGUUUUACAAUAUUUUUUAAAGAAAAGUAUUUUAAACCUAUGAAAAAAUGACUAAUUUUCAAAUACAAAAUAGUUAUUUCACAUAUAUAGUAUCAUCUCUUUAAAACCCCAGAGCAAAUAAUUAUGUGAAUGUUUGAACAUGCAGAAAUCUCACAUUAAUUUUAAUAAAAGAAUAACAACUGAAUAUCAUAACUGCCAAAAAAUAUUUGUUAAAUGGAAAUAAAUGUUCUGAUAUUUUCUUCAAGUUGAUAUGAUUUUAGUAAGCAUAACAAAAGUUUCUUUUCUUGUUCACAAUAGAAAUGAUCAUUUUGGGAGUUCCCGUCAUGGUAUAGUGGAAAUGAAUCCGACUAGGAACCAUGAGGUUGUGGGUUCCAUCCCUGGCCUCGCUCGGUGGGUUAAGGAUCCGGUGUUGCUGUGAGCUGUGGUGUAGCUUGCCGAUGCAGCUCAGAUCUGGCAUUGCUGUGGCUGUGGUGUAGGCCGGCGGCUGUAGCUCCAAUUAGACCCGUAGCUGGGAACCUCCAUAUGCCUCGGGUGUGGCCCUGAAAAAAAAAAAAAAGACCAUUUCACAUUUCAGGUUUCAGGUCAGCUGUAUCAUAGGU
This is a long non-coding RNA of Sus scrofa (pig), 6238 nucleotides long. RefSeq lists it as uncharacterized. The record is from RefSeq and is a predicted model, not a curated record. Lineage: Eukaryota; Metazoa; Chordata; Mammalia; Artiodactyla; Suidae.